CGAUCAAGGUGGCCAAGGGUCCGGAAGGAGGGCCUCGCUCGCCCCGUAAACAAAUUCGAAGUAUGCUCGACGAAACGGGACGAGGCGAAACGAGAUCCUCGUUUGUUUACAGUCGCUUGUUUCCGCUGUUUUGCCACGCUCCGCUCUGCGCCGCAUAGCCGCGAAAACAGUUAUUGCCGAAACUGUCGAUGUCGAGGAACGGCCGCAACCGCGCACGUAUUUCACGCUGCUUCGAGAUUUAUCCCGAGACGAUUAUUAAAAAGCGGAGGUGUCGGUCGACCGGGUUUCUCUCCUUUUCUCAUUGCCUCGCGCGCGAACGAGAGGAAGGGGGACAGAAGGACGCGACAGAAGGUGGUGGUCCGUUUCUAUGCGUGAAUACGUAAUAUCGCGUGACACGUGACAACGACUGUUUCUCUUUCUGGGGUCGAUCCAGUUGCUCUUCUCCUCGCGUUUCCGAUCGAUCGUGAGGAGCAUCGUUCGUUUUGCUUCGACGAAGAAGUGGAUCCCAUCGAUACACCAUCGAUUUUCUCCCCAUUCUCUUCGAACAUGAAUCAAUCUAUGAAUUGGAAGAGCAGUUUCCUCGUAUGGAUAUUCCGGAUCUCGAUCAUGUACGCGACUCUGUACCUGAUAUGCAUCGUGAUAUGGAUAAUCUAUUACCACGCAUCGUUGUACAUAAUAUGCGCUUGCAAGUAGCAACGGAGUAGCGUCGCCUGUUCGAACGGAAGGAAGGAAGGAUGGCGAGUAAAUUGGUGAAAACGGAUUGCCGACGUUCGAGUACCGUCGGGACGUCUUCAGGAGGAAUUCCUUAGCCCGUUAUUCUUCUCCCGCUACUCUCGAAUAGAUAACGUGGUCCUUCUCUCUUAAAGAUUAUUCGAUUGAUUUGAGAGGAUAAACGAAUAAAACCCAUGUUUUUGCACGCAAACGUUGUGUUAUGAAUAUUUCGCAACUAUCCCACUGAAAUGUUACAUGAUAGACAUAUAAGAUUAAAAGAAAGAAAAGAAAAGAAAAGAGAGAGAGAGAGAUUAAAGAGGAAAAAAAAUAUA
This is a long non-coding RNA of Apis mellifera (honey bee), 1043 nucleotides long. RefSeq lists it as uncharacterized. NCBI's taxonomy places the organism in Eukaryota, Metazoa, Arthropoda, Insecta, Hymenoptera, Apidae. The transcript is spliced from 2 exons. The record is from RefSeq and is a predicted model, not a curated record.